AGAGUUUGAUCCUGGCUCAGGAUGAACGCUAGCGGCAGGCUUAAUACAUGCAAGUCGAGGGGCAGUUCUAUCUUCGGAUAGAAGCGACCGGCGAACGGGUGAGUAACGCGUACGCAAUCUACCUCUGACUGGGGGAUAGCCCAGAGAAAUUUGGAUUAAUACCCCAUAACACCAUAGUGAAACAUUUCAUUAUCGUCAAAACUCCGGUGGUCAGAGAUGAGCGUGCGUCCCAUUAGCUUGUUGGUAAGGUAACGGCUUACCAAGGCAACGAUGGGUAGCGGGCGUGAGAGCGUGAUCCGCCACACUGGCACUGAGAUACGGGCCAGACUCCUACGGGAGGCAGCAGUAGGGAAUAUUGGUCAAUGGGGGCAACCCUGAACCAGCCAUGCCGCGUGAAGGAUGACAGCCCUCUGGGUUGUAAACUUCUUUUAUUAGGGAAGAAACCUUGGGAUUUAUCCCAAAUUGACGGUACCUAAAGAAUAAGCACCGGCUAACUCCGUGCCAGCAGCCGCGGUAAUACGGAGGGUGCAAGCGUUAUCCGGAUUUACUGGGUUUAAAGGGUUCGUAGGCGGGACGAUAAGUCAGUGGUGAAAGCCUACAGCUUAACUGUAGAAUUGCCAUUGAAACUGUUGUUCUUGAGUAUAGUUGAUGUGGGCGGAAUGUGGCAUGUAGCGGUGAAAUGCAUAGAUAUGCCACAGAACACCGAUUGCGAAGGCAACUCACAAAACUAUUACUGACGCUGAGGAACGAAAGCGUGGGUAGCGAACAGGAUUAGAUACCCUGGUAGUCCACGCCCUAAACGAUGAUUACUCGACAUUUGCGAUAUACAGU
This 831-nucleotide ribosomal RNA is filed under the name uncultured deep-sea bacterium. RNAcentral describes it as "bacterial SSU rRNA". It matches the Rfam family "Bacterial small subunit ribosomal RNA", at positions 8 to 837 of the family's 1533-position model. The record is from RNAcentral.